This 225-nucleotide long non-coding RNA is filed under the name Nicotiana benthamiana. Its description in RNAcentral is "long non-coding RNA (NBEN_LNC018095)". The record is from RNAcentral. Lineage: Eukaryota; Viridiplantae; Streptophyta; Magnoliopsida; Solanales; Solanaceae.
CUCUAUUCUACAGCAUUUCGACAAUUAUCAUGGAGCCAAGUUCCAAAGAAAAUUAGUGUAGCCAACAUAUCCCUCCAAACUCGGCUGCUAAAUUGUUGCUGCUACAAAUAAUAGGGUUCAAGAAAGCCAUAAUCAUAUCACAGUUCCAAUCCCUAAUAAUGCCGCGAAUACCAGCUCUAUUAGUUUCCAUGAAGAAGCCGCCUUUAGUGUUAAUCUUAACUGUGC